UUUGAUCCUGGCUCAGGAUGAACGCCGGCGGCGUGCUUAAUACAUGCAAGUCGAACGAACUUCCGUUAAUUGAUCAGGACGUGCUUGCACUGAAUGAGAUUUUAACACGAAGUGAGUGGCGGACGGGUGAGUAACACGUGGGUAACCUGCCCAGAAGCAGGGGAUAACACCUGGAAACAGAUGCUAAUACCGUAUAACAGAGAAAACCGCCUGGUUUUCUUUUAAAAGAUGGCUCUGCUAUCACUUCUGGAUGGACCCGCGGCGCAUUAGCUAGUUGGUGAGGUAACGGCUCACCAAGGCGAUGAUGCGUAGCCGACCUGAGAGGGUAAUCGGCCACAUUGGGACUGAGACACGGCCCAGACUCCUACGGGAGGCAGCAGUAGGGAAUCUUCCACAAUGGACGCAAGUCUGAUGGAGCAACGCCGCGUGAGUGAAGAAGGGUUUCGGCUCGUAAAGCUCUGUUGUUAAAGAAGAACGUGGGUGAGAGUAACUAUUCACCCAGUGACGGUAUUUAACCAGAAAGCCACGGCUAACUACGUGCCAGCAGCCGCGGUAAUACGUAGGUGGCAAGCGUUAUCCGGAUUUAUUGGGCGUAAAGCGAGCGCAGGCGGUCUUUUAAGUCUAAUGUGAAAGCCUUCGGCUCAACCGAAGAAGUGCAUUGGAAACUGGGAGACUUGAGUGCAGAAGAGGACAGUGGAACUCCAUGUGUAGCGGUGAAAUGCGUAGAUAUAUGGAAGAACACCAGUGGCGAAGGCGGCUGUCUGGUCUGUAACUGACGCU
This 780-nucleotide ribosomal RNA is filed under the name Pediococcus acidilactici. RNAcentral's name for it is "bacterial SSU rRNA". It matches the Rfam family "Bacterial small subunit ribosomal RNA", at positions 12 to 747 of the family's 1533-position model. The record is from RNAcentral. Lineage: Bacteria; Bacillati; Bacillota; Bacilli; Lactobacillales; Lactobacillaceae.